Molecule: ribosomal RNA, 496 nt
Filed under: uncultured bacterium
Lineage: Bacteria
Description: partial 16S ribosomal RNA
Rfam family: Bacterial small subunit ribosomal RNA
Source: RNAcentral
GAUGAACGCUGGCGGCGUGCUUAACACAUGCAAGUCGAACGAAGCACUUUUACAGAUUUCUUCGGAAUGAAGUUUUAGUGACUGAGUGGCGGACGGGUGAGUAACGCGUGGGUAACCUGCCUCACACAGGGGGAUAACAGUUGGAAACGGCUGCUAAUACCGCAUAAGCGCACAGUACCGCAUGGUACAGUGUGAAAAACUCCGGUGGUGUGAGAUGGACCCGCGCCUGAUUAGCUAGUUGGCAGGGCAACGGCCUACCAAGGCGAGGAUCAGUAGCCGACUGGAGAGGGUGACCGGCCACAUUGGGACGGAGGAACGGCCCAAACUCUUACGGGAGGCAGCAGUGGGAAUAUUGCACAAUGGGGGAAACCCUGAUGCAGCGACGCCGCGUGAGCGAAGAAGUAUUUCGGUAUGUAAAGCUCUGUCAGCAGGGAAGAAGAAAUGACGGUACCUGACUAAGAAGCACCGGCUAAAUACGUGCCAGCAGCCGCCGUAA